GACAGAGGAGUUAAGAUGGGCCAUGAGAAUGAAAAGGCAGAAACCAAUAUCCUUAACAGUUAGCCCAGACAAAAGCAUGCGACACCCAGAUGCUGUUUUGCUGCUAUGAACGUGAAGUUGAGGUGGCCUUAGAAAGAUGCUUGUGUCGCGGGUUCUGAUUUCUUCACACCCGUGCUUGGAAUUCUUUACACUCCUCCUGAGAAGAUGGAAAAAACCACUUUCUGUAUGUGAGUGGAAGCAACAGAGACCUGAAAUGCAUCAGGAUAACUAUUUUUAACCAUUUACCUAAACACAAGAAAGUAGUUUUUCUCAGGCCUUUUAAUUAAAACAACAUCAUAGGUUAUACCUUCAUUGUAAUAAAACUCCAAUGUGUGUCCAAA
Long non-coding RNA from Ornithorhynchus anatinus (platypus), 380 nucleotides. RefSeq lists it as uncharacterized. The record is from RefSeq and is a predicted model, not a curated record. NCBI's taxonomy places the organism in Eukaryota, Metazoa, Chordata, Mammalia, Monotremata, Ornithorhynchidae. The transcript has 2 exons.